This 516-nucleotide ribosomal RNA is filed under the name Iolanthe bifurcatoides. RNAcentral's name for it is "Acanthaspidia bifurcatoides partial 16S ribosomal RNA". It matches the Rfam family "Bacterial large subunit ribosomal RNA", at positions 1799 to 2618 of the family's 2925-position model. Lineage: Eukaryota; Metazoa; Arthropoda; Malacostraca; Isopoda; Acanthaspidiidae. The record is from RNAcentral.
CCUGUUUAUCAAAAACAUUUCUCCCUACUUGGGGGGUAGACUCUGCUCAGUGAUUUAAAUAGCCGCAGUAUUUUAACUGUGCUAAGGUAGCAUAAUAAUUUGUCUCAUAAUUGGGGGCUGGAAUGAACGAGUUAAUGAUCUACUUAUUUUUUUAUUUUUUUUUUUAAAGAAAUUUAUUUUUAAGUUAAAAAGCUUAACUACCCAAAAAGACGAUAAGACCCUAUAAAACUUAAUUAAAAAUUAAAUAAUUUAGGAGAAUAGUCAAGAAACUAUUAAUUAAGCUGGGGCGGCAAAUAAGAUACAAUUUUUAAUGUAACUAAAAUAUUAGAUUUUAAAGAUCCUUAUCAGGAUGUAGAAAAAGUUACUUUAGGGAUAACAGCGUUAUCUUUCUGGAGAGAACGUAUUAAUAGAAAGGACUUACGACCUCGAUGUUGAAUUGAGGGGCCUAAAGAGAGUAGAAAAUUUUUAAGGAGGUCUGUUCGACCUUUAAUUCCUCACGUGAUCUGAGUCAGACCG